RNAcentral lists this unclassified non-coding RNA (285 nucleotides) under plant metagenome. RNAcentral's name for it is "partial contains small subunit ribosomal RNA, internal transcribed spacer 1, and 5.8S ribosomal RNA". The stretch from base 1 to 54 matches the Rfam family "Eukaryotic small subunit ribosomal RNA", at positions 1778 to 1831 of the family's 1831-position model. The record is from RNAcentral.
GGAGGUAAAAGUCGUAACAAGGUUUCCGUAGGUGAACCUGCGGAAGGAUCAUUAUUGUAUAACCGAGGUGCGAGGGCUGUCGCUGACCCGAAAGGUCGUACACGCCCGAGUGCCCUCACACACAUCCAUCUCACCCCUAUGUGCACCACCGCGUGGGUCCCCCUUUGGCUUGUUCGGAGGGGGGCUUACGUUUUCACACAAACUUUGUAUGCAGUGUAGAAUGUAUUUUUUGUUUUUGCGAUCACGCAAUCAAUACAACUUUCAACAACGGAUCUCUUGGCUCUC